Molecule: ribosomal RNA, 451 nt
Filed under: uncultured bacterium
Lineage: Bacteria
Description: bacterial SSU rRNA
Rfam family: Bacterial small subunit ribosomal RNA
Source: RNAcentral
AACGAACGCUGGCGGCAGGCUUAACACAUGCAAGUCGAGCGAAGACUUCGGUCUUAGCGGCGGACGGGUGAGUAACGCGUGGGAACGUGCCCUUCUCUACGGAACAGUCCUGGGAAACUUGGGCUAAUACCGGAUACGCCCUCCGGGGGAAAGAUUCAUUGCCGAAAGAUCGGCCCGCGUCGGAUUAGCUAGUUGGUGGGGUAAAAGCCUACCAAGGCGACGAUCCGUAGCUGGUCUGAGAGGAUGACCAGCCACACUGGGACUGAGACACGGCCCAGACUCCUACGGGAGGCAGCAGUGGGGAAUAUUGGACAAUGGGCGCAAGCCUGAUCCAGCCAUGCCGCGUGGGUGAAGAAGGCCCUAGGGUUGUAAACCCCUUUCAGCGGGGAAGAUAAUGACGGUACCCGCAGAAGAAGCCCCGGCUAACUCCGUGCCAGCCGCCGCGGAAUAC